This is a non-coding RNA of Oryza sativa Japonica Group (Japanese rice), 770 nucleotides long. Lineage: Eukaryota; Viridiplantae; Streptophyta; Magnoliopsida; Poales; Poaceae. The record is from RefSeq and is a predicted model, not a curated record.
AGUGGAGCUGAAGCCCCGCUAAGAUCGCCUUUUUCCGCUGCUGCUGCUUUCGUUUCGGUAUCUGCUUCCGUCGCGGGGCAACGCAGACGCCGAACAGCCACAGCUCGCACGCGAUACGGACAGCCAGCCCAAGCGCGAGCAACAACUGAUCCCUUGUUGGCUUUGUUGCAAACUGUCCUACUACACCUCCAGAGCAAGCGACCACUACAUACUAUUUCUAGUAUAUCCGUGGGACCACUUGGUCGUCGUGCUUGAUCCGGCACAUUAUGCCGAGAAGACAUUCACGGAAUUCCUUGUGUUGUUGAACUUAGCACACAAGUAUUACAAAGACCAAAGCGGACGAGUAAAGGAUGCCAGUAAGAGUAAGCUUCUCGUGAAGACACGAUGGCCGGUAAUGAAUGUGUUGCAAGCAACCACCAGGCACUAACUUAUGUGGAUACUACAUGUGCGAGAUGCUUCAAAUUAAUGGGAGAUCAUGUCAAUUCCAUGGGUAGCAAACCUGUUCGACAAAAAAAACCAUUCUCAACUUGUGUGCAGAUAUUUGUCGUUACAUCCGCCACGAUGUUUGUAACCAUUUGGGCGAAUUCUACGAUCCGGAGAGCGACCUUGCAAAGAAUGACGCUUUCAAACGCCUAAGAGAGUGGGAGAAAGAAUUUACGUGAAAAAACAAUUUAGAGACAUAAAUUGUAUUUGGUUUUGAAUUAUUGUAAAUUCCAAGACAAUAAUUAUAUAUAUAUGUGUGUAUGUGUAUAUGUCUAUUACAUAUUUUA